UACGUAGGGUGCGAGCGUUAUUCGGAAUUACUGGGCGUAAAGCGCGCGUAGGCGGUUCGUCAAGUCAGGUGUGAAAUCCCCGGGCUUAACCUGGGAAUGGCAUUUGGGACUGCAAGGCUCGAGUGCGGCAGAGGAGACUGGAAUUCCUGGUGUAGCAGUGAAAUGCGUAGAUAUCAGGAGGAACACCGAUGGCGAAGGCAGGUCUCUGGGCUGACACUGACGCUCAUGCACGAAAGCGUGGGGAGCAAACAGG
Molecule: ribosomal RNA, 253 nt
Filed under: uncultured bacterium
Lineage: Bacteria
Description: partial 16S ribosomal RNA
Rfam family: Bacterial small subunit ribosomal RNA
Source: RNAcentral